UCAUUAUGUACUGAAUCUAAGCUAAAUGAUUGUGGUAACAACCUCAUGGCACACAGAGAUCACAUGGUGCAAAUGGAUGCUAAAGUUCACUUCACUGCCAGUACUACCAAGCAGAAAGGAAGCAUGUGUUGAACUCUUCCUAAAUAAUUAAUUAGAAGGUAAUUUAUUUUGCAUCACUGUAUUGUAAGAUUGAGGACAGAUGCUUUGGCCCUUUGCCUCAACUCUGC
RNAcentral lists this long non-coding RNA (227 nucleotides) under Anas platyrhynchos platyrhynchos (common mallard). RNAcentral's name for it is "lncRNA (ENSAPLG00000023738.1)". Lineage: Eukaryota; Metazoa; Chordata; Aves; Anseriformes; Anatidae. The record is from RNAcentral.